AGCCACAAUGCCAUGGUGGAGGAAGAAAGGGAGGGAGCACCAGGAGAAAGGGAGGGAGGGAGCACUGAAGAGAGCCACACGGAGCCUAUCUACACCGUGUGCGCACGCGUGGUGUCUCUAUGGCGACUAAGAUGGGGGAGAAGUGGAGAGAAAGAGAGAGAGAGAGAGAGAGAGAGAGAGAGAGAGAGAGAGAGAGAGAGAGAGAGAGAGAGAGAGAGAGAGGUGAAGAAGUG
RNAcentral lists this long non-coding RNA (233 nucleotides) under Sorghum bicolor (sorghum). RNAcentral describes it as "long non-coding RNA (SBIC_LNC002106)". The record is from RNAcentral. Lineage: Eukaryota; Viridiplantae; Streptophyta; Magnoliopsida; Poales; Poaceae.